CCAACCAACCAAUGCAUCAACUAAGAAGCAUUUAUUAAACAUCUUCCAUGUGCCAGUUAAAACAACAUGAGACCAGGAGUCAGGAGACCUGGUUUUUCUGUUCUUGGGAUUACCACUAAUUAGCUGUUUGACCUUAGGGAUGUGGUGAGGAUCAAAUAAAACAGUUCAUGUGAAAGUUCCUUCAAGAUUAUAUAGAGGUAUAUGAAUGCAUGGUGAUGCACAACUAUAAUCCCUGUUACUGGAGAGGCUGAGUCUGGUGAAUCACUUAAGAAGAUAGAGCAUCCUUGCUAAGGCUGGCACCAGGAUGGCACCCAAGGCUCUCAGGCCACCUCAAAUUCUCUUCUAUCAAAGAGAAAAGGAAUCUGAGAAGUGAAAACAUAGGAUGCGGCAAACUUUGUUUUUGUACCCUUCCACCUCUUACUCCCUCUUCAUAAUUCUUUUCCUCUUUGUGCAUUACUAUGUACCCCUACCUUCUGCCCUGUAUCUAGUAUCAUCUUAUUGCCCCUUGACCACACAGGACACCAACCAUGGUGAAUAGUUGGGGAAGAUGCAGAACAGGGCAGUAGGAGAAAAUCUAGACAUGUAACUUGGGUACCAAGGGAGCCAUGGCAUCAGAUAACUGACAUGAUACAAGGUGGGCAGUAAGUGAUAUUAUGGUAAGCAAGGAGGGGAGGGCAUCAGGAUAAUUGGAUGGAAGGUUGUGGGGAUCAUAGAGAUCUCACAAGAUCAGGUGGUUUGAAUGUCAAUUAGAGUUUCAGUCCUUGGGAGGACUAUUGAGAGCUAAGUAUGGCCCCAGUCCCAUAGGAACUGAGGUAUGGAGUAAGAUAGUUAGUGAGAGAGGGACUUUGACACAGGGGAACAAGUCAGAGUCUGGCACCAAGUCAUACAAAUUUUAGGGUCUGUCAUAAUGGAUACCUAAAGCCCAUUUGCUAGAACCAGGGUGCAAGAUUAGUUGGAGAGGGAUCAACAAAAAAAGUGAUCUGAGGCUAAUUUCUCUGAGUGAUGGACCCAGAAGUCCUCUUUUCCCUGCCUAAGGAUCAAUUGGUCUCAGAGCUGGAGGACGACUGAGAUUAUAAGUAGGAAAUAAAGAGCCCAGCCUAAAGAGCUUCAGGGUCAGGGAACCAGAUCUAUCAUUAAAAUUCUGGAGCUCUAGACUUGUCUCCCCACCCUGGCUCCUCAAAAUUUGCUUGUUCUGCAUCCCAUUCUUGUAGGACCAUGGUGCUUAUCUCCUAGGAAAGCAAAGAACCAGGUCUCUGAGAUGGUGGAACAUAAUGAGAAUAAGCUUUUUUUUUUUUUGCUAGGCAGUGGGGUUAAGUGACUUGCCCAGGGUCACACAGCUAGUGAUUGUCAAAU
This is a long non-coding RNA of Phascolarctos cinereus (koala), 1353 nucleotides long. RefSeq lists it as uncharacterized. The record is from RefSeq and is a predicted model, not a curated record. Lineage: Eukaryota; Metazoa; Chordata; Mammalia; Diprotodontia; Phascolarctidae.